RNAcentral lists this ribosomal RNA (496 nucleotides) under uncultured bacterium. RNAcentral describes it as "partial 16S ribosomal RNA". It matches the Rfam family "Bacterial small subunit ribosomal RNA", at positions 28 to 523 of the family's 1533-position model. The record is from RNAcentral.
GAUGAACGCUGGCGGCGUGCUUAACACAUGCAAGUCGAACGAAGCAUUUAGAACGGAUUACUUCGGUUUGAAGUUCUUUAUGACUGAGUGGCGGACGGGUGAGUAACGCGUGGGUAACCUGCCUUGUACUGGGGGAUAGCAGCUGGAAACGGCUGGUAAUACCGCAUAAGCGCACAAUGUUGCAUGACAUGGUGUGAAAAACUCCGGUGGUAUAAGAUGGACCCGCGUCUGAUUAGCUAGUUGGUGAGAUAACAGCCCACCAAGGCGACGAUCAGUAGCCGGCCUGAGAGGGGGACCGGCCACAUUGGGACUGAGACACGGCCCAGACUCCUACGGGAGGCAGCAGUGGGAAUAUUGCACAAUGGAGGAAACUCUGAUGCAGCGACGCCGCGUGAGUGAAGAAGUAAUUCGUUAUGUAAAGCUCUAUCAGCAGGGAAGAUAGUGACGGUACCUGACUAAGAAGCUCCGGCUAAAUACGUGCCAGCCGCCGCGGUAA